This 253-nucleotide ribosomal RNA is filed under the name uncultured bacterium. RNAcentral describes it as "partial 16S ribosomal RNA". It matches the Rfam family "Bacterial small subunit ribosomal RNA", at positions 524 to 776 of the family's 1533-position model. The record is from RNAcentral.
UACGGAGGGUGCAAGCGUUAUCCGGAAUCACUGGGUUUAAAGGGUGCGUAGGCGGUGAGAUAAGUCCGGUGUGAAAGUCACAGGCUCAACCUGUGAAUGCCGCUGGAAACUGUCUGGCUAGAGUCCGGAAGGGGCGAGUGGAAUUCCUGGUGUAGCGGUGAAAUGCGCAGAUAUCAGGAGGAACACCAAUGGCGAAGGCAGCUCGCUGGGACGGUACUGACGCUGAGGCGCGAAAGCGUGGGGAGCGAACAGG